This 477-nucleotide ribosomal RNA is filed under the name uncultured bacterium. RNAcentral describes it as "bacterial SSU rRNA". It matches the Rfam family "Bacterial small subunit ribosomal RNA", at positions 8 to 483 of the family's 1533-position model. The record is from RNAcentral.
AGAGUUUGAUCAUGGCUCAGGACGAACGCUGGCGGCGUGCUUAACACAUGCAAGUCGAACGGAGCACCCCUGAAGGAGUUUUCGGACAACGGAUGGGAAUGCUUAGUGGCGGACUGGUGAGUAACGCGUGAGGAACCUGCCUUCCAGAGGGGGACAACAGUUGGAAACGACUGCUAAUACCGCAUGAUGCGUUGGAGCCGCAUGACUCCGACGUCAAAGAUUUAUCGCUGGAAGAUGGCCUCGCGUCUGAUUAGCUAGUUGGUGAGGUAACGGCCCACCAAGGCGACGAUCAGUAGCCGGACUGAGAGGUUGGCCGGCCACAUUGGGACUGAGAUACGGCCCAGACUCCUACGGGAGGCAGCAGUGCCGAAUAUUGGGCAAUGGACGCAAGUCUGACCCAGCAACGCCGCGUGAAGGAAGAAGGCUUUCGGGUUGUAAACUUCUUUUAAGGGGGAAGAGCACAAGACGGUACCCCUU